Molecule: small nucleolar RNA, 142 nt
Filed under: Sciurus vulgaris (Eurasian red squirrel)
Lineage: Eukaryota; Metazoa; Chordata; Mammalia; Rodentia; Sciuridae
Description: Small nucleolar RNA U3 (ENSSVLG00005013120.1)
Rfam family: Small nucleolar RNA U3 (bases 1-41)
Source: Rfam by way of RNAcentral
AAGACUAUACUUUCAGGGAUCAUUUCUGUAGUUGGUUACUAAAAGAAACCCUUCCUUGAGCAAAAUAUUAACCGAAAUAGAGACUAACUUUUCCUAUUACCAAAAAUGUGUGCAAGCAAAAAAGAUUAUAAUAAGCCUUGGU